RNAcentral lists this ribosomal RNA (392 nucleotides) under uncultured bacterium. Its description in RNAcentral is "partial 16S ribosomal RNA". It matches the Rfam family "Bacterial small subunit ribosomal RNA", at positions 523 to 918 of the family's 1533-position model. The record is from RNAcentral.
ACACGUAGGGGCCUGACGUUGUUCGGAAUCAUUGGGCGUAAAGGGCGCGCAGGCGGCCGUCCAAGUCCGGUGUUAAAUGGUCGGGCUCAACCCGAUCAUGCGCUGGAAACUGGGCGGCUUGAGUCCCGUAGGGGAGGCCGGAAUUCCAGGUGUAGGGGGGAAAUCUGUAGAUAUCUGGAAGAACACCGAUGGCGAAGGCAGGCAUCUGGCCGGAGACUGACGCUGAGGCGCGAAGGCGCGGGGAGCGAACAGGUUUAGAUACCCUGGUAGUCCGCGCAGUAAACGAUGCGCACCAGGUGUCGGGCGGCAGCGCCCGGUACCGGAGCUAACGCGAUGAGUGCGCCGCCUGGGGAGUAUGCCCGCAAGGGUGAAACUCAAAGGAAUUGGCGGGG